Molecule: ribosomal RNA, 542 nt
Filed under: Sporobolomyces blumeae
Lineage: Eukaryota; Fungi; Basidiomycota; Microbotryomycetes; Sporidiobolales; Sporidiobolaceae
Description: partial large subunit ribosomal RNA
Rfam family: Eukaryotic large subunit ribosomal RNA
Source: RNAcentral
AGCGAAGCGGGAAAAGCUCAAAUUUGUAAUCUGGCGCCUUCGGCGUCCGAGUUGUAAUCUCGAGAAAUGUUUUCCGUGUUAGACCGCAUACAAGUCUCUUGGAACAGAGCGUCAUAGUGGUGAGAACCCAGUACACGAUGCGGAUGCCUAAUACUUUGUGAUACAUUUUCGAAGAGUCGAGUUGUUUGGGAAUGCAGCUCAAAUUGGGUGGUAAAUUCCAUCUAAAGCUAAAUAUUGGCGAGAGACCGAUAGCGAACAAGUACCGUGAGGGAAAGAUGAAAAGCACUUUGGAAAGAGAGUUAACAGUACGUGAAAUUGUUGGAAGGGAAACACAUGCAGUCAGACUUGCUAUUCGGGGCAACUCGAUUGGCAGGCCCGCAUCAGUUUUUCGGGGCGGAAAAGCAUAGAGAGAAGGUAGCAGUUUCGGCUGUGUUAUAGCUCUUUAUUGGAUUCGCCCUGGGGGACUGAGGAACGCAGCGUGCUUUUAGCAUGAGCUUCGGCUUAUCCACGCUUAGGAUGCGGGUGUAAUGGCUGUAUAUGAC